ACUGGAGGCAGUCAGUAUAUACCAAAGGGACGUGGUAACACGCCGCAUUGUAAUUGAAGCUGGACUAGGGCACAGUUAGCACAUAGCUGAUUGUUCAGAUGGCAACACCCUUCACAAUGGCCAAUAAAGGUAUGUUCCUAUCCAGUCGUUUGCUUAAGAAAAGGUUCCGGUUUUCUGGAGAGGGAAAUUCGAAUGGUACUUGUUGGAAAGACUGGAGUAGGUAAAAGUGCCACAGGAAAUACAAUAUGUGGAGAACAGAUAUUCAAAGCAUCAGCGAGGGCAAAGUCUGUUACAGAGAUAUGUAAACAGCAUUCCUUCAACCGUUUUGGGUACGACUUGCAACUUGUUGAUGUCCCGGGCUUUUAUGACACAAACAGAUCACAUGAAGACAUCAAGCAAGAGAUCAUGAAAUGUGUGGGUAUGUCAUCUCCUGGAAUACACGCCAUUCUUUUCAUUUUGAGAAUAGGAAGAUUCACCGAAGAAGACAAAAAUACACUUGAAACGUUCCUGCAGUGGUUUGGACAAGAAGCUAAAAGAUUCGUCAUUGUUGUAUUUACUGGGAAGGAUGACUUGGAAAGG
Molecule: long non-coding RNA, 579 nt
Organism: Haliotis rubra (blacklip abalone)
Lineage: Eukaryota; Metazoa; Mollusca; Gastropoda; Lepetellida; Haliotidae
Exons: 3
Source: RefSeq, a predicted model, not a curated record